RNAcentral lists this ribosomal RNA (149 nucleotides) under Taiwania cryptomerioides. RNAcentral's name for it is "5.8S ribosomal RNA". It matches the Rfam family "5.8S ribosomal RNA". Rfam says of the family: 5.8S ribosomal RNA (5.8S rRNA) is a component of the large subunit of the eukaryotic ribosome. The record is from RNAcentral. Lineage: Eukaryota; Viridiplantae; Streptophyta; Pinopsida; Cupressales; Cupressaceae.
AACACGACUCUCAGCAAUGGAUAUCUUGGCUCUCGUAGCAAAAUGUGAUACUUAGUGUGAAUUGUAGAAUCUCAUGAAUCAUCGAGUCUUUGAAUGCAAGUUGUGCUCAAGGCUCCAACCAAGGGCACGUGUUUGCUUGGGCAUAGCUC